UGGGGAAUCUUGCGCAAUGGCCUAACGGCUGACGCAGCGACGCCGCGUGAGGGAUGAAGCUCUUCGGAGUGUAAACCUCUUUUGCCCGGGACGAACUGCCAGAUUUAUCUGGCUUGACGGUACCGGGUGAAUAAGCACCGGCUAACUCCGUGCCAGCAGCCGCGGUAAUACGGGGGGUGCGAGCGUUGUCCGGAAUCACUGGGCGUAAAGGGCGCGUAGGUGGUCUGAUAAGGGUGUGGUGAAAGCCCGGGGCUCAACCCCGGGUCGGCCGUGCCGACUGUUAGACUGGAGUGCUGUAGGGGCAGGCGGAAUUCCGGGUGUAGCGGUGGAAUGCGUAGAGAUCCGGAGGAAGACCGGUGGCGAAGGCGGCCUGCUGGGCAGUUACUGACACUGAUGCGCGACAGCGUGGGGAGCAAACAGG
Molecule: ribosomal RNA, 421 nt
Filed under: Bacillota bacterium
Lineage: Bacteria; Bacillati; Bacillota
Description: Firmicutes bacterium partial 16S ribosomal RNA
Rfam family: Bacterial small subunit ribosomal RNA
Source: RNAcentral